Schizosaccharomyces pombe (fission yeast) is the source of this 291-nucleotide non-coding RNA. The record is from the annotation of a GenBank genome assembly. Lineage: Eukaryota; Fungi; Ascomycota; Schizosaccharomycetes; Schizosaccharomycetales; Schizosaccharomycetaceae.
AGCAUCAUUUGCUUGGCAACAUUAUAAUUGUGUGCAAUGGCAUGCAAAUCAAUGACGGACUUUGCACCUCUCAUGGUUAAUUUAAAUGAAUCAAGAUAGAAAUUUGUAUAGCAAGGGACGUUAUCGAGUUAUUUCGUGAACCGUUGACAAUUGAAUCUAUGCUUUAAAUAUCCCCAUUCAAGAAGCGCUAUCGGAAUUGAAGCCUCCCAGUUGAUUUAUUUAAGCGAAUUUACUACAGCAUUUCCAUAUUUUUGCUAUCCUCACCGUGCAUUUCCAGCUGCAAUCUUCAUC